UACGUAGGGGGCAAGCGUUGUCCGGAUUCAUUGGGCGUAAAGAGCGUGUAGGCGGCCAGGUAGGUCGGUUGUGAAACUGGAGGCUCAACCUUCAGAGGUCGACCGAAACCAUCUGGCUAGAGUCCGGGAGAGGAGAGUGGAAUUCCGUGGUGUAGCGGUGAAAUGCGCAGAUAUCAGGAAGAACACCCGUGGCGAAAGCGGCUCUCUGGAACGGUACUGACGCUGAGACGCGAAAGCGUGGGAGCGAACAGG
This 252-nucleotide ribosomal RNA is filed under the name uncultured bacterium. RNAcentral's name for it is "partial 16S ribosomal RNA". It matches the Rfam family "Bacterial small subunit ribosomal RNA", at positions 524 to 776 of the family's 1533-position model. The record is from RNAcentral.